This 253-nucleotide ribosomal RNA is filed under the name uncultured Eubacteriales bacterium. Its description in RNAcentral is "uncultured Clostridiales bacterium partial 16S ribosomal RNA". It matches the Rfam family "Bacterial small subunit ribosomal RNA", at positions 524 to 776 of the family's 1533-position model. The record is from RNAcentral. Lineage: Bacteria; Bacillati; Bacillota; Clostridia; Eubacteriales.
UACGUAGGGGGCAAGCGUUAUCCGGAUUUACUGGGUGUAAAGGGAGCGUAGACGGCGGUGCAAGCCAGAUGUGAAAACCCAGGGCUCAACCCUGGGACUGCAUUUGAAACUGCCAUACUGGAGUGCCGGAGAGGUAAGUGGAAUUCCUAGUGUAGCGGUGAAAUGCGUAGAUAUUAGGAGGAACACCAGUGGCGAAGGCGGCUUACUGGACGGUAACUGACGCUGAGGCUCGAAAGCGUGGGGAGCAAACAGG